ACGAACGCUGGCGGCGUGCUUCACACAUUCAAGUCGAACGGAAAGGCCCUGCUUUUGUGGGGUGCUCGAGUGGCGAACGGGUGAGUAACACGUGAGUAACCUGCCCUUGACUUUGGGAUAACUUCAGGAAACUGGGGCUAAUACCGGAUAGGAGCUCCUGCUGCAUGGUGGGGGUUGGAAAGUUUCGGCGGUUGGGGAUGGACUCGCGGCUUAUCAGCUUGUUGGUGGGGUAGUGGCUUACCAAGGCUUUGACGGGUAGCCGGCCUGAGAGGGUGACCGGCCACAUUGGGACUGAGAUACGGCCCAGACUCCUACGGGAGGCAGCAGUGGGGAAUAUUGCACAAUGGGCGGAAGCCUGAUGCAGCAACGCCGCGUGCGGGAUGACGGCCUUCGGGUUGUAAACCGCUUUCGCCUGUGACGAAGCGUGAGUGACGGUAAUGGGUAAAGAAGCACCGGCUAACUACGUG
This 467-nucleotide ribosomal RNA is filed under the name uncultured bacterium. Its description in RNAcentral is "partial 16S ribosomal RNA". It matches the Rfam family "Bacterial small subunit ribosomal RNA", at positions 29 to 507 of the family's 1533-position model. The record is from RNAcentral.